Molecule: long non-coding RNA, 332 nt
Filed under: Erythranthe guttata (spotted monkey flower)
Lineage: Eukaryota; Viridiplantae; Streptophyta; Magnoliopsida; Lamiales; Phrymaceae
Description: long non-coding RNA (EGUT_LNC001672)
Source: RNAcentral
AGAGGGUGUAUUAAAUGAAAAACCAGGUGCGACAUUUGUCGGGGCAGAAGUGGUGGAAGAUGAACCGAAGGCAAAUCCAGUAGAUGGUGGUGCAGAGGUGGUUGUGGAACCGAAGGCAAAUCCAGUAGAUGGUGGUGCAGAGGUAACUGUGGAACCGAAGGCAAAUCCAGUAGAUGGUGGUGCAGAGGUAACUGUGGAACCGAAGGCAAAUCCAGUAGAUGGUGGUGCAGAGGUGAUUGUGGAACCGAAAACAGAAGGCUUUGGGUUUUGCCAAGUCGAACCAAAGGCAUUAGUAGAAGGGGCACUACUGCUGCUAGCUGAGAUGAUUGCUG